Molecule: ribosomal RNA, 253 nt
Filed under: uncultured bacterium
Lineage: Bacteria
Description: partial 16S ribosomal RNA
Rfam family: Bacterial small subunit ribosomal RNA
Source: RNAcentral
UACGUGGGGUGCAAACGUUGCUCGGAAUUAUUGGGCGUAAAGCGCACGUAGGCGGUUUGUUAAGUCGGAUGUGAAAUCCCUCGGCUCAACUGAGGAAGUGCAUCCGAAACUGGCAAGCUUGAGUACGAAAGAGGGUCGCGGAAUUCCCGGUGUAGAGGUGAAAUUCGUAGAUAUCGGGAGGAACACCGGUGGCGAAGGCGGCGACCUGGGUCGAUACUGACGCUGAGGUGCGAAAGCGUGGGGAGCAAACAGG